CGGUCCAGACUCCUACGGGAGGCAGCAGUAGGGAAUAUUGCGCAAUGGGGGAAACCCUGACGCAGCAACGCCGCGUGGAGGAUGACACUUUUCGGAGCGUAAACUCCUUUUCUUAGGGAAGAAUUCUGACGGUACCUAAGGAAUAAGCACCGGCUAACUCCGUGCCAGCAGCCGCGGUAAUACGGAGGGUGCAAGCGUUACUCGGAAUCACUGGGCGUAAAGGGCGCGUAGGCGGAUUAUCAAGUCUCUUGUGAAAUCUAAUGGCUUAACCAUUAAACUGCUUGGGAAACUGAUAGUCUAGAGUGAGGGAGAGGCAGAUGGAAUUGGUGGUGUAGGGGUAAAAUCCGUAGAUAUCACCAAGAAUACCCAUUGCGAAGGCGAUCUGCUGGAACUCAACUGACGCUAAGGCGCGAAAGCGUGGGGAGCAAACAGGAUUAGAUACCCUGGUAGUCCACGCCCUAAACGAUGUACACUAGUUGUUGGGGUGCUAGUCAUCUCAGUAAUGCAGCUAACGCAUUAAGUGUACCGCCUGGGGAGUACGGUCGCAAGAUUAAAACUCAAAGGAAUAGACGGGGACCCGCACAAGCGGUGGAGCAUGUGGUUUAAUUCGAAGAUACGCGAAGAACCUUACCUGGGCUUGAUAUCCUAAGAACCUUUUAGAGAUAAGAGGGUGCUAGCUUGCUAGAACUUAGAGACAGGUGCUGCACGGCUGUCGUCAGCUCGUGUCGUGAGAUGUUGGGUUAAGUCCCGCAACGAGCGCAACCCACGUAUUUAGUUGCUAACGGUUCGGCCGAGCACUCUAAAUAGACUGCCUUCGUAAGGAGGAGGAAGGUGUGGACGACGUCAAGUCAUCAUGGCCCUUAUGCCCAGGGCGACACACGUGCUACAAUGGCAUAUACAAUGAGACGCAAUACCGCGAGGUGGAGCAAAUCUAUAAAAUAUGUCCCAGUUCGGAUUGUUCUCUGCAACUCGAGAGCAUGAAGCCGGAAUCGCUAGUAAUCGUAGAUCAGCCAUGCUACGGUGAAUACGUUCCCGGGUCUUGUACUCACCGCCCGUCACACCAUGGGAGUUGAUUUCACUCGAAGCCGGAAUACUAAACUAGUUACCGUCCACAGUGGAAUCAGCGACUGGGGUGAAGUCGUAACAAGGUAACCGUAGGAGAACCUGCGGUUGGAUCACCUCCUUUCUA
RNAcentral lists this ribosomal RNA (1189 nucleotides) under Campylobacter coli. Its description in RNAcentral is "bacterial SSU rRNA". It matches the Rfam family "Bacterial small subunit ribosomal RNA", at positions 327 to 1533 of the family's 1533-position model. Lineage: Bacteria; Pseudomonadati; Campylobacterota; Epsilonproteobacteria; Campylobacterales; Campylobacteraceae. The record is from RNAcentral.